This 427-nucleotide ribosomal RNA is filed under the name uncultured Aquaspirillum sp. RNAcentral describes it as "bacterial SSU rRNA". It matches the Rfam family "Bacterial small subunit ribosomal RNA", at positions 355 to 774 of the family's 1533-position model. Lineage: Bacteria; Pseudomonadati; Pseudomonadota; Betaproteobacteria; Neisseriales; Aquaspirillaceae. The record is from RNAcentral.
UGGGGAAUUUUGGACAAUGGGGGCAACCCUGAUCCAGCAAUGCCGCGUGAGUGAAGAAGGCCUUCGGGUUGUAAAGCUCUUUUGUCAGGGAAGAAACGGUGGUUUCUAAUACAGAUCACUAAUGACGGUACCUGAAGAAUAAGCACCGGCUAACUACGUGCCAGCAGCCGCGGUAAUACGUAGGGUGCAAGCGUUAAUCGGAAUUACUGGGCGUAAAGCGUGCGCAGGCGGUUAUGUAAGACAGAUGUGAAAUGCCCGGGCUCAACCUGGGAACUGCAUUUGUGACUGCAUGGCUAGAGUUUGGCAGAGGGGGGUAGAAUUCCACGUGUAGCAGUGAAAUGCGUAGAUAUGUGGAGGAAUACCGAUGGCGAAGGCAGCCCCCUGGGUCAAGACUGACGCUCAUGCACGAAAGCGUGGGGAGCAAACA